Long non-coding RNA from Zingiber officinale, 5418 nucleotides. RefSeq lists it as uncharacterized. The transcript is spliced from 2 exons. NCBI's taxonomy places the organism in Eukaryota, Viridiplantae, Streptophyta, Magnoliopsida, Zingiberales, Zingiberaceae. The record is from RefSeq and is a predicted model, not a curated record.
UUUCUUGAUGCUUUACUUUCUAUGGUAAACCAUAAUUUUCUCGACGUUGUGGUUUGUGGAUCUUCUUUUUCUGCCCUAAAGUGUGCCCAAAUUGCCUGUUUUGUUCUAUCCUAUGGUAAGGCCUUAAUUUUAUCUUUAUUUUUUGGGGUUUCAUUAUUGAGUUUUCAACUCUUUUGUUGUUUUUCAUAUAUGCUUUGAUUGUCUGGGAACUUCUUAAUACUUCAUGCUUGUUCUUCGUUAAUCCCCGCUGGCUAGAAAGUGACAAGACCUAAACAAGAAUGCGGCAAAGAUUGCCAGAUGACUAAAGUAAUCAUCAUGAUGAGAAGGGGCAACACUUCUCAAUCUCCAAUGCGGAAGAAGAGGAAGAGAGAAAAAGAUCGCGCGGAGUAACGAGGCAAAGCCGCACAAGAAAAGAGCAAACACGAGGAAGGAGAAGAAGAAGAGAAAGAAGAAGAGUUAAAGUGUUUUAGUAGCAUGCCUACUUUACAAAAACAACCGAAACUUUAUUAGAAUUCUCUCUACUAAAGAGAAUCACAUUCUAUGAUUCUCAUGAUUGUACAAUAGGUUUACAAUGAUCCAUAUAAAUAGUGCAUAAAUCUCAGACCCGGUAAAAUCAUAACAGAAUUUUAUUAUGAAAAAUUGUAACAAAAUUCUGUUAUGAAAAACCAUAACAGAAUUCUGUUAUAUAAAAUCGUAAUAGAAUUUUAUUACGAAAAAUCUUAACAGAUUUUUUUUCAUAACAUCCAUCGCAUUGAUCUUCAUCCAAAUAUGAGCCAUCCGUUAACAAUCUCCAUCUUGGCGAAUAUUCACCCUUUCGAAAAACACGAGUAUCUGAACAAAACUCCACCUGGACCUCUGGUCUAGGUUUCCUCUAGCAUCUAGAGAUAUGGAUCAAGUUCAAGCAAUGCUUGAACUUCUCUGUGGUCACUAGCUUUGUCAGCAUGUCUACAACAUUGUCAGCAUGUCUGCAGUGUGAACAUUCUCAAGUUGAAUUUCUCCAAAAGCAAUUGACUCUAUGAUAUUGUGAAACCGCACAUCAAUGUGCUUGGUUCUCGCAUGAUACACAACCAACUACAUUGACAUAAAGAACCUUUGACAUCUUUUGGAUCUCGUCAUUCAUUUUUGGACACUGUGUACUUAUAACUUGAAGUGAUGCACCAGGGGUGUGCUCACCGACUUUGCAUUCUUCAUGUUGAACCUAUCCAACACAUUUUCCACAUAGCUACGUUGAGACAACUAUAAUCUCCCUGUAGCUCUAUCCCUGUGAAUCUCCAUCUCAAGAAUCUUCUUGGCUUCUUCUAAAUCUUUCAUGUUAAAUUCCUUGCUAAGUAGCCUCUUCAAUUUGUCGAUCUCUUUCAUCUUCUUCGCAACAAUAAGCAUGUCAUCUAUGCAUAGUAGUAAGAAAAUCAGUACUUCAUCUUCAAGGCUCUUCACAUAUAUGCAGUAAUCAUACUCACAUUUCCUAUAUCUAUUUUGAAUCAUGUAUGAAUCAAAAUGUUUAUACCAUUGCCUAGGAGAUUGCUUCAAUCCAUAGAGCGAUUUCUUCAACUUACAAACCAACCACUCUUGUCUGACUAAAUCCCUCAGUUGUGACAUAAAAAUUUGUUUCUCCAAAUUUCCAUGAAGAAAUGCCGUCUUCACAUUUAUUUCCUCCAACUGCAAAUCGUAAUGUUCCACCAAAGCCAACGCCGCUCUAAUUGACGUAUGUCUUACUAUUGGAGAGAAAUUUUUUUUAUAGUUAAUAUCUUUUUUCUGUGAAUGCCCCUUUGUUACCAACCGAACCUUGAACUUCACUUCUUCUCCCACAUUGCUUCUUUAUUCUUGAAUAUCCACUUGCACCCUAUAACUUUCUCAUCUGUUAUAACAUCCGUCCACUUAUCCUUCUCACAGCUGUGUAUCGCCUCCCGAAAAGACGUAGGGUUUCCGCUACUAGUGAUAAGUUCAUAAGAUACUAAGUCUUCAAAUCCGUAUAUAGUGGGUGGUUUUACAACUUCUCUCGCUCUGCCACCAACUAUAAUGUGUGCUCUAAGUUAGAAUCAUCAGAGUUAUCAGUCUGUAGCUCCACCUACACGACAUCUUUCUCCAUAUUGCUCUGUGGUGUUUCCUUUCCUUCUUCCUGAGUACGUUGUAGCAUAGCCUUCUAGUCAAACAUUACAUCUCUGCUGAUCAUCACCUUGUUUACCUUAAAAUCCCAAAGCUUGAAACUUUAACUCUUUUUUAUACCCCCAAAAAAUGCAUCGCUUUGACUUUGCAUCCAACUUUGAUUUUUUCUUAUUAGAUAUGUGCUUAUAAGCUGGACAUCUAAAAACUCGAAGAUGAGAGUAAUCUACUUAAUUUUCUGUUUAUACUUUCUCUGAUAUUUUGCCUUCUAGUGCUGUCCUUGGUGAUUUAUUAAUGAGAUAACAUGCCCUGUUAAUUGCUUCCGCCCAGAAAUUCUUUGCUAGCUCUGCAUUUAGCCUGAGACAUCUUGUCUUCUCAAUGAUAGUCCUGUUCAAUCUUUCCACUACCCCGUUUUGUUGAGGUGUCUUGCGAAUCGAGAAAUGUCUCAUUAUCCGGUUUGGUUCUCCACUUCAGUUUUCCACAGUUUGAACUUUGUGAAAGUUUCUGACUUGUGACGCAUAAAAAUAUACUCAGACCUUUCGUGAGUAAUCAUUAGUAAAACUCACAAAAUACAAGCCCUCCACAUGAUGUUACACUGGCUAACCCCAGAGAUCUGUAUGUAUGUAGUCUAGAAUCCCCUCCGUCUUAUUUGUUGCCGUCUUGAUUUGCACUUUGCUUUGCUUUCUAAGAACAUAGAAUUUGUAGAAUUCAAGCUUGCACGUCUUGACACCCUUCAAUAAAUCUCUCAUGUGAAGUUUUAGCAUUCCACAUUCACCCAUAUGCUCUAGCCGCAUAUGCCAUAAGCCAAUAAUGUCAGAUUCAGAUUCUACCGAGACAACUCUACCUACAACUGUAGUCCCUAUUAACUUAUAGAUAUUCUCUGCUAACUUUUGUCCUUUCAUUACCGUUAGAGCUCCCUUGCUGACUUUUAUCAUUCCGCUUAUUGAUUUGUAACUACAACCAAUAUCAUCUAGUGUGCCCUAGCGAGAUUAAGUUCUUCCUUAGCUUUGGUAUAUAUCUAACAUCACAUAGGAUUCUGAUCACACCAUCAAAUAUCUUGAUUUUGACGUUUCCUCUACCGAUAACUUUGCAUAACGCAUCUUUUUCCAUCAAUACUGAACUAGAAUCUACUACCCUAUAGGUGUCAAAUCAAUCCUUGUUUAAUAUGUAGAGUCUAAAAUCCAUACAUCCGUCAGCUACUUCGAACUCGACAUAACUGAUAAUAUAUCUCCAUCACCGCUCUAUGAAUUUUCCUCUGCAACUAUUUUUGCUGACUUUGCCGAAUUACCUUUGUUCUCUGCAACAUGUUUCUUUAUUUCUGGACAAUCUCUCUUAAUAUGACCUUUGCCUCCAUAUUUGUAGCACGUGAUCACCUUCUUCUUUCUCGACUUAGAACGAGCCUUGUUGUUGUUACCUAACCCAUGUCGAGAUUUGCUCCUACCACGCUCUUGGUUGCUAUUUAUCAUAAGUCUUUCUCCCUGAGAAACUUUAUCGCUUAUUUUCUUCCAUUGGUGAAAACCUAGCAACGCACCUAUGAUCUCCUCCAAUUUGAGAGUUUCCUUACCCCACAUCAAAAAAGUAGUAACUAAAUUCUCGUACGUAGGAGAUGAAAGUAGAGAAUUCAACAACAUCAGCGCCUUGUCUUCAUCUUCGAUCUUCACAUCAACCUGCUUCAGAUUACUUAUAUUCUGGUUGAAUACGUUGAUGUGCUAGCUCAGAUCGGUUCCUUCUGUCAUUUUCAGCCCGAAUAAUUUGUACUUAAGAUACAAUUUGUUUGUCAAUGUAUUGACUUUCCAACUUUUGCCAAACUGCCACUGGUGAUUUUUCGUCCAUGAUACGGUACAUCACAUCAUCCGUAAGACAAAGCCUGAUUAUUGUCAUUGCCUUCACCUGAAGUUCUUCCCAAUUUAAUCUCUCCAUGCUUUUCGGUUUCCUUUCUCCUAACGCCUUCACCAUGCCUUGUUGCACCAACAAAUUCUUGACCCUUCUCUGCCAUAAUCCGAAGUUCCCGGUUCCGUCAAACUUCACCAUAUCAAACUUCGCAGAAGUCGUCGUCGACAUAUUGAAGAAAUCUGCCAAAACCUGUAGUUCUGAUACCAAUUGUUGUGUAAAGAGGGGGCAACACCUCUCAACCUCUAAUGUAGCAAAAGAGGAAGAGAGAAAGAGAUCGCGCGGAACAACGAGGCAAAGAUGCACAAGAAAGGAGCAAACACGAGGAAGGAGAAUAAGAAGAGAAAGAAGAAUUAUCGUGAUUUGGCAGUGUGCCUACUUCACAAAAACGAUCGAAGUUUUAUUAGAAUUCUUUCUACUCAAGAGAAUCACAUUCAAUGAUUCUUAUGAUUGUACAAUAGGUUUACAAUGAUCCCUAUAACUAGUACAUAAACCCAAAAUCCGGUAAAAUUGUAACAGAAUUUUGUUAUAAAAAAUUACAACAGAAUUCUGUUAUGAAAAAUUGUAAUAGAAUUCUGUUAUAUAAAAUCGUAACAGAAUUUUAUUACGAAAAAUCUUAACAGAUUUUUCUUCUAUGACAUCCAUCGCAUUGACUUUCAUCCAAAUAUGAGUCACCCGUCAACAUGUCUUGUAUAGAAGAUUGACAAUUGAUUUUAUUAAUUUGUGUAGAUGAUUGUAUAGGUAGAUUUCUAGGGAGCCAUUUGGGGACUAUAUAUAUAUAUAUAGAAGACCUACGCCCUAUUCGCUUACCAGGUAAAUCCGAAGUACAAUUUAUGCACACUUAGAAGCCGACCUCCAUCAUAUUCGUCCCUAUUGGGAUUUGAACCAUGGGUCUCUUUAUUGGUCCUUUUGAGUGUUUUACCAUUGCACCACACCGAUGGGGGCUCCACUAUUGGAUCAGUCAAGAUGUAUAACAACAAAAAGUACUAACUCGUCCUUCUGAUUUUCAUGGUAUCAUAGCCAAAAUUUUCCUCCCUCUUCAAAUCCUAUCAAUUUUGUUGGUUGGUCUUCUAUUCUCUCUUCAAAUACUGUUGUUGGUUGAGCUUGAAUUGUAGGAUUGACAUGGACUCAUUGCUUCUUGCAUCGCCUGCUCCUUCCUCAAGAAGAAGCAAUUGCGUCUGCCAACACUAAGCCUCAUCCUUUAGUGCCAAGAUCCACUACAAUGCCAAGUCAUUAAGUUGCAAGCUUUCUAUACAAAACACCCUCUAAAAAAGAUAAUAUCAUGGUGUGUCUGUUACUGAUUAAAAAAAGGAAAAAAAACAAAAAAGGAAAGAAAAUAAUUAAAAAAAAAUAGUUAAUGUAGGCCGUAGGCGUUCACUUAUUGAAAAAAUUUACAAUGUGUAGUAUCGAUUGAUAAAGAUGCAUAUU